Molecule: ribosomal RNA, 377 nt
Filed under: uncultured bacterium
Lineage: Bacteria
Description: bacterial SSU rRNA
Rfam family: Bacterial small subunit ribosomal RNA
Source: RNAcentral
UAAUACAGAGGUUGCAAGCGUUGUUCGGAUUCAUUGGGCGUAAAGGGUGUGUAGGUGGUCAUGUUAGUCAGAUGUGAAAUACCGAGGCUUAACCUCGGAACUGCAUUUGAUACUGCAAGACUAGAGUAUGUCAGGGGAAAGGGGAAUUCCAGGUGUAAGGGUGAAAUCUGCAGAUAUCUGGAGGAACACCAGUGGCGAAGGCGCCUUUCUGGGACAAUACUGACACUGAAACACGAAAGCUAGGGUAGCAAACGGGAUUAGAUACCCCGGUAGUCCUAGCCGUAAACGAUGGGUACUAGGCGUUGGAAGGGUCAUACCUUUCAGUGCCGCAGCUAACGCAUUAAGUACCCCGCCUGGGGAGUACGGUCGCAAGACUG